Molecule: non-coding RNA, 97 nt
Organism: Acanthosepion pharaonis
Lineage: Eukaryota; Metazoa; Mollusca; Cephalopoda; Sepiida; Sepiidae
Source: the annotation of a GenBank genome assembly
AUUGAAACACCAGUUCCCGUACGAUCACCAAAGUUAAGCAAAGUCGAGCCUUGUCAGUACCUAAAUGAGUGAUCACCUGCAAAUAAUAGGUGCUAUA